This 865-nucleotide long non-coding RNA is filed under the name Heterocephalus glaber (naked mole-rat). RNAcentral's name for it is "lncRNA (ENSHGLG00100052617.1)". Lineage: Eukaryota; Metazoa; Chordata; Mammalia; Rodentia; Bathyergidae. The record is from RNAcentral.
CCCUCCUGUUCCCUCUGAUGGACCACAGCCCAUAAAACCACCAUCUUGAUGUCACUCUUCCAACAGUUUUGGCCACAUCUCUAUCCACCUUGCAAAAUGACUUCCAGGCCAUGUUCUCUGGCAGCCUCCCCUUCAUCAGAGAAACCUUGCAGCAAGCAGGCAGCGAAACCACUGAGCUAAAUCCCUGGUCCUACUUAAGUGAGGCUUUCCAGGAUAGAAGUUGCCUCCCAAGCCUGAGCUCUAAAAUGAGUACAGAUGGUACAGAACUGAACCCAGCCAUCAGAAAGGAGCUGAGCCUGGCCAGUCCUAUAACUUGACACCGAGCCACAGAAAGAAGUUCAACCAAGACCAGCUGAUUUUCAGACAGGACAUACACUCCUGAGUUAAGCUGAUGCUUAUCUUGUAUACCACUGAGAGUUUAUGAUUGUUUGACAUACAUGAUUAUUGUUUAACUAAGUUGACAAGUUAAACUCCCCUGGACAAUGUGCCUCUGUGGCCUUCUCCUAUUGUUUUUUCCUUAAUGCUCUCUACUAGCAACUGCAAGCAUCAUUUUGAGGAUAACAGCCAUGGGAUAGAAAGUUGGAAGGAACCUGGGUCCUGGAUGACAGCAAGGCCACACUUACUGGGGAUCAAAUCCAGGGCCUUGCAUGUUACAGGUGUAGAUCCAAAGGAAAUGAAGCCAGCGUCCCAGAGAAACACCUACAUGUCCAUGUUUAUUGUGCUCUACUCAUAAUAGCCAAGGUGUGGACUCUGCCUAAGUGCCUGCCAACAGGUCACAAACGUUUCAAGAGACAAAGCUGUAUGGUGCCAGCUAGCUCAACUGCAGAGUGAGAUUCCCAGCCCCAUUGAUUGAACUGUCAUCUGG